This 440-nucleotide ribosomal RNA is filed under the name uncultured bacterium. RNAcentral's name for it is "partial 16S ribosomal RNA". It matches the Rfam family "Bacterial small subunit ribosomal RNA", at positions 338 to 795 of the family's 1533-position model. The record is from RNAcentral.
CCUACGGGAGGCUGCAGUGGGGGAUAUUGCACAAUGGGGGGAACCCUGAUGCAGCGACGCCGCGUGGGUGAAGAAGCGCCUCGGCGCGUAAAGCCCUUUCAGCAGGGAAGAAAAUGACGGUACCUGAAGAAGAAGCCCCGGCUAACUACGUGCCAGCAGCCGCGGUAAUACGUAGGGGGCAAGCGUUAUCCGGAUUUACUGGGUGUAAAGGGGGCGCAGACGGGGAUGCAAGCCAGGAGUGAAAGCCCGGGGGCCAACCCCGGGACUGCUCUUGGAACUGCGUGGCUGGAGUGCAGGAGGGGCAGGCGGAAUUCCUGGUGUAGCGGUGAAAUGCGUAGAUAUCAGGAGGAACACCGGUGGCGAAGGCGGCCUGCUGGACUGCAACUGACGUUGAGGCCCGAAAGCGUGGGGAGCAAACAGGAUUAGAUACCCUUGUAGUC